This is a long non-coding RNA of Gadus morhua (Atlantic cod), 457 nucleotides long. RefSeq lists it as uncharacterized. The record is from RefSeq and is a predicted model, not a curated record. Lineage: Eukaryota; Metazoa; Chordata; Actinopteri; Gadiformes; Gadidae. The transcript is spliced from 3 exons.
CGCAAAUGCUUGAUGAAGUGUUUGACGAAUGUUUGGAGAACAUGUCGGAAUUGUCGGUACGAGCACCCCAGACCAACAACUGACAAACCAAAGACAGGAACAAGCACAGAAAACAUGGAUAAGAGGAAGAGGUCCGAACUGGAGGAUGACUCUCUGAACAUGUCGGAAUUGUCGGCACGAGCACCCCAGACCAACAACUGACAAACCAAAGACAGGAACAAGCAAAGAAAACAUGGAUAAGAGGAAGAGGUCAGAACUGGAGGAUGACUCUCUGAGGGAUUAUCAGUCUACGUCACUCUACGUCACUCGGCGGUCUACGCGCAUGUCGUUGGCAGAAAGAGACGAGAGCGACAUGAGCCGCAAUCAUGUCUUGUUGUUGCACAAACCCUUUUAAUAAGACUGAUUAUCCCAUUUAAUCUACUUCUUGCUUGCCAACAUAAUAAAACCAUUCAAAUAC